GGGCCCUUAGCUCAGUUGGUUAGAGCGCACCCCCGAUAAGGGUGAGGUCGGUUGAGUCCACUAGGCCCCACCA
This 73-nucleotide transfer RNA is filed under the name Paenibacillus larvae. RNAcentral describes it as "tRNA-Ile". Lineage: Bacteria; Bacillati; Bacillota; Bacilli; Caryophanales; Paenibacillaceae. The record is from RNAcentral.